UAACUGCGUGCAGACGUGUGAACUGCAGGACACAUGAACACCGACGUUUCGAACGCAAAUGGCGGUCUAAAGUAAAUUUUAGACCACGUCUGGCUGAGGGUCGGAUUAUAAAACAAAACUAAAGGUGCACUGGUGAAGUUGCUAUAUACUCACUUGCAUGGGUGUAUGGUGAUAUGUGAUGUGUUACCGACUUCGUCAAGUUGUGCAACUUGAUCAGAUUUCUAAAGCGUUGUAUCUGUGUUUGCUACAAUCGCAAGUCCUAACUUUUUAUAAAGAAAAAAUACUGAUUGGAAGAGAGGAUUUUUGCUUGAUUGUGCUUUUGAUGAUGCUAAUGCUUACUAUAUUAUAGUAUAAAAAAUAUUGUAUUCAUUGAUACGACCUCAGAGCAGACGAGAUUACC
RNAcentral lists this unclassified non-coding RNA (400 nucleotides) under uncultured fungus. Its description in RNAcentral is "sequence contains ITS1". The stretch from base 1 to 103 matches the Rfam family "5.8S ribosomal RNA", at positions 50 to 154 of the family's 154-position model. The record is from RNAcentral. Lineage: Eukaryota; Fungi.